This 635-nucleotide long non-coding RNA is filed under the name Amborella trichopoda. Its description in RNAcentral is "long non-coding RNA (ATRI_LNC003787)". The record is from RNAcentral. Lineage: Eukaryota; Viridiplantae; Streptophyta; Magnoliopsida; Amborellales; Amborellaceae.
GUGUAAAUAAUAUGUUGUAAAAUGCACUAUUUUUUAGACUUGAAAUCUUUUUAUUUUUCAUAGUCAUACGUCUCGAUGUCGAGAUGAUCAAUCAAAGGGUUUUUCAACAUUAAAACUACCUUUUCCAAUGGAUUUUUGAAGGGCAUCUAUAGUACUACAUUAUAAAGUAGUAUCCUUAUAUAAACUUUUUCUAUUAUAUAUUAGGGAAAAUAUCUACAUAUCCCCUAUUUUUAAGUUUUAUUUCUUGAUAAACCCAAUGUUUCAAAAAAUAUCCACCACUUUAAGUUUAUUUUUUAACCUAAACAAAUAUGAUAAAGACAUGCUCUUUCUAAAUCCAAUCAUUUCUCUUUCUUCACUUAUAUAUCCCAAACUAUUCUCUUUCUCUCUCUUCCUUCGUCUCUGACUUUUUCUCUCCUCCCGUGUUUUUCCAAACACUUCUCUCUCCCAAUAACCUCUCACCUCCAUGAAACCCGUCUCUCUCUAAAAGUUUGGGAGGAUGACUUUUAAAAUACGUAUGUCUUUUUAGAUUUUAAAAGAAAUAAAAUCUACAAUUUUUAUGUCUCAAUAUCUUUUAAAACCUUGAGUUUAUUGUAAAGUGAAACUUAAAAAUAGAGGAUAUGGAGAUAUUUUUCCUA